GGAUGUGAGGGUGAUCUGGCUGCGACAUCUGUCACCCCAUUGAUCACCAGGGUUGAUCUGGCUGGCUAGGCAGGUGUUCCCUUCCUCCCUCACUGCUCCAUGGGCAUCCCUCCCGAAGCUGUGCACUCGAUUGAAGAGGAUGGCCUUCCCUGAAUAGAGACGGACGGAUCUUUGGUCGAGGGUAUACGAGUAGCUGCACUCCCCUGCUAGAACCUCCAAACAAGCUCUCAAGAAUAAAGAAAGGAUCCUGAAGACUGCAAGAGAAAAAAAAGGGUUCCCUACAGAGGAAAACCCAUAAGAU
This 301-nucleotide small nuclear RNA is filed under the name Erinaceus europaeus (western European hedgehog). RNAcentral's name for it is "7SK RNA". It matches the Rfam family "7SK RNA". Rfam says of the family: 7SK was discovered as an abundant small nuclear RNA in the mid-70s but a possible function has only recently been suggested. Two independent studies have found that 7SK RNA binds the CDK9/cyclin T complex (known as elongation factor P-TEFb). P-TEFb activates transcription by phosphorylating the C-terminal domain of RNA polymerase II. Lineage: Eukaryota; Metazoa; Chordata; Mammalia; Eulipotyphla; Erinaceidae. The record is from Rfam by way of RNAcentral.